GGGCGUAAAGCGCACGCAGGCGGUCUGUCAAGUCGGAGGUGAAAUCCCCGGGCUCAACCUGGGAACUGCAUUCGAAACUGGCAGGCUUGAGUCUUGUAGAGGGGGGUAGAAUUCCAGGUGUAGCGGUGAAAUGCGUAGAGAUCUGGAGGAAUACCGGUGGCGAAGGCGGCCCCCUGGACAAAGACUGACGCUCAGGUGCGAAAGCGUGGGGAGCAAACAGGAUUAGAUACCCUGGUAGUCCACGCCGUAAACGAUGUCUACUUGGAGGUUGUGCCCUUGAGGCGUGGCUUCCGGAGCUAACGCGUUAAGUAGACCGCCUGGGGAGUACGGCCGCAAGGUUAAAACUCAAAUGAAUUGACGGGGGCCCGCACAAGCGGUGGAGCAUGUGGUUUAAUUCGAUGCAACGCGAAGAACCUUACCUGGUCUUGACAUCCACAGAACUUUCCGAG
RNAcentral lists this ribosomal RNA (449 nucleotides) under Salmonella enterica subsp. enterica. RNAcentral's name for it is "bacterial SSU rRNA". It matches the Rfam family "Bacterial small subunit ribosomal RNA", at positions 556 to 1005 of the family's 1533-position model. Lineage: Bacteria; Pseudomonadati; Pseudomonadota; Gammaproteobacteria; Enterobacterales; Enterobacteriaceae. The record is from RNAcentral.